GCCAAUUUCCACCCUCUCUCUGGAAACUGUCAUUAGGGUUAGGGAAACUGUCAUGAGAUCUGCAUAUUUUAGAUAGAGGCUGCUUGCCUUAUUUGGGCACCUAAUGAAAAAGACAUGGAGGCCAGGUGCGGUGGCUCAUGUCUGUAAUCCCAGCACUUUGGGAGGCCAAGGCGAGUGGAUCACCUGAGGUCAGGAGUUCGAGACCAGCCUGACCAACAUGGCAAAACCCCGUCUGUACUAAAAGUGCAAACACAAAGGGAACUGCGUGGCUUGUUUCUACCUGAACAUUGUCAAGUGAUUUCAUCCUUUGAAACACAGUUGUGAAGUGUGUCCAGCAGUCUGAGAACAAGAAGAAGAAGAAAAUCUAAUCCUUCAGGGUGUCUGUGUGCCAGCCCUGCUCUCAGCACUUCCCAUGUGGAACUCCUUUACUUCUCCUAACAACUCCAUGACAUGGGUUAGACUGUGAUUGUUCCCAUAUUGUUGGUAGGGAAACUGAGGCAUGCAGGUGUUACAGAGCUCUCUCAAGUGGCAAGCUUUCUGGGUGGUUACAGAGUGGCAGAGCUGGGGUAUCCCAUGAUGUCACCACACUGCUAUAUGGAAAAGAACAUUAAUCGAGCACCUACGUGCUUGAUUCUCUUAAUUCUGUGACUGAACUCUCAAAACACCCUGGGUUGGUUUCCUUUUUACAACUGCCCAAGUCAUGAGUUCAUAGGGCCUGGAUGGCUGUACCGGAUUGCUCUCCAGCUGGUCUCUCUGCAUCCAGAAAUUUCUACAACCUACUGGGGUAAAAUCUUUCUCAACCCUGCUUUUCAUCAUCACAUCUUAAAUAUCUCGAGUUGGUUCCCUAUUGCCAAAAAAAAUCCAUUGUCCAUGUAGGGUUCUUCUGCCGAAACGAGGAAAGAGUGAGUUAAAUGUUGGUAGGUGAUAUAGAGAUAGUAAUUAGGCAAUAUAAUUCGAUGUUGUUGAAAGAGCUGAGCUAUGAAAUGCAUUGUGAUAAAGGGGCUGCCUGUGUAAGUAAAUGGGUAUAAUGAGGUGUAAAACUCCCUUUCUCUCUCUCUUUCUGCUUCAUAAGCCUUUCUGCUUCUCAAGUCCAGACCUGCUGUUUUUGGGGUUUCCUUCCAAUUUUUUUGCUGCUUCCCUGGGGCCUUGGCUCUUGGGCCUGCUGCCUCUUCCCACUCUACACCUUUGGAUUCCUUAUCUUUGGCUCCACCUUAUUGCUCCAUUCUCCAAAGACAAAUCCACAAGGCAUAGGAUUUUACAGAAUAUGGGGUUACAGAAACAGCAUAGGGAAGUGUAAAAGCCUAGAAGCUUCUUACAGACGCAGCCCCUUGUCUGUAGCUCCUGACUCCCACUUAAAUGUCUGUUGGAAGCACCCUGGGGUAGCAGAACCCAGCUCAGAAGAUGGGGCUUAUCCACCAUGCCUUUUCCUAACCUGACACCCACCCAGAUAAUCUUUUCAAUAUGCAAACUAGAGCGUAUCACCCCCUGCUCAGAGCCUUUCUGUGACCUCCCAUUUUGCUUCCCAGGACUCCUUGCUCCUUAGCCAGGUCUCCAGGUCCUCCGUGAUCAGGUCUCUGCUCUUCUGCAGCCUCAUCUCUGCCAUUCUUCACCUUUUGUGCUCCAACCCAAUCUGGUUUUCUUCUCAUGCUUUGAACACCCCAAGUCUGUCUGCUUCAGGAGCUUCGUACUGGCUAAUCAUUCACCACAGCAUACUCCCAUCUAUACGGCUGGCUCUUAUAUUAUGGGUCUCAGCUAAAAUGUCAUCCCUUCAAAGAGACCUUCUUGGACCACCCCCGCCAUUCUCUAUCCUAUUUCUCUCUUUUAUUUUCUUUGAAGCACUUACCCACUUUCAGAAACUAUCUGGCUUGCUCAUGUGUUUGUCUCUAGAUUGUCUACUUCCCCUCCUAGACUGUACUCUCCACAAGAGAGCAAAGCUGUGUCUGUUGCAUUCACUGUUGUCUUCCCAGAAGCAAGCAGCAUGCUGGAGACCCUCAAAUACAUGUGAAAUGAAGGGACACCUUGUGUUAUUUCACCUGUUUCCACCUGGUUCCCAAGUGGCAAGCUUGCAUUGAGGUUACAAAGUGGCAAAGCUGGGAUAUCACAUGAUGUCACCAUGAUGCUAUAUGAAAUGUAACAUUAAUUGAGUACCUAUGUGACCAGUUCUUUAAUUCUGUAAGUGAACUCUCAAAAAACCCUAGGUAAGUAUUAUCAACUCGAACUUUAACGGAUGAGGAAACUGGAAUUUUUUAAAAAAUGACUUAACCAAACAUCACAGAGCUGUAAACCAGGAUUUGAAUGGGUGAGCUGCACUCAGCCUUCAUCUCAAGUCAGUUUGCCUCUUUCUCCAAGAAGCCACAGUUGAUCCUGACCACAUCACAUAUGAGUUGCCUGGAUUGCAGUCAUUCAUUCACUAAGCAUCUUUUAGGAGGUCACAUGCCAGGCACCGUGUUAGAGCACUGCGUGUUUUGAAAUAUACAAAUAGUGGGAAACGAAAUCUUUGUUCUGGAUGCAGUUAUAAUUUGGAAAGCGAGGAAAUAAAUUAUAACAAGGGGAAAAAACAGACACAGAGGGAUUGAAAUGCAUAACAAUAGAGAUGAAACACGAAGAGUGAUAAAUGAAGAUUGAGUGUGCACACCUUCUGGAGGAGCCCUGAUUGAGUAUUUUAACACAGAAGUGGGUGAGAGCAAAGUUGUGUCAGAGUAAGACAAUGACACCAAGCCAGAUGGUUAUCAAAAUCCACAGGAACAAAUGAAGAGAACCAGAAAUUGCAAAUAAGAAGGACAGAGUACCAGAGAGGAGAGAGAGGUACAGAGAAUUAUGGAGGUGGCUUCCGUUGAGUAUGCAGCUAAGUAAUGAUUAAUGCAUACAUAUAAGAAACUACUGGAUGACAGAGAAAGAACCACAAGCAAUUUAAAGAAUACUACUAAAGUCAUGCCGUGUGACUUCUGAAGCUAGCUCCUAAGAAGUCCUUGCAGCUUCUGCCUGCGACUCUUAGAACACUUGCUUUGAAGGAUGCCAGAUGCUGUCUUAAAAGUCUGAGCACUCUGAAACCAUCAUGCUGUGAGGAAGCCCAAGCUAACCACAUGGGCAAAAAAGAUGCCCUCUGACUGCCACCAUUUGAGACACUCUAAUUAAGAACUGCCUCAUUGAGCCCAUGAGGCCCUGUGAAUGAUAAUAAUAAAUUGUUUUUAACCACUAUGUUUUUGGAUUUGUUAUAAGUUUAUAGAUAACAAGAAAAAGUUAUAUUAGCAUGGUAAUAAAAUUAUGGAUAUGUGUAA
RNAcentral lists this long non-coding RNA (3278 nucleotides) under Homo sapiens (human). RNAcentral describes it as "PREDICTED lncRNA (TCONS_00252504)". The record is from RNAcentral. Lineage: Eukaryota; Metazoa; Chordata; Mammalia; Primates; Hominidae.